UUGAUUCAUUUGUUUUCGUUACUCAGAAGGAGAUUCCGCCGAGGGCGAAGGCAAGAGUUUGGGUCCCCCGGCGGGCGCCUGGGUCCGGGCCUCCUCCCCCGGGGGGGGUUCGGGCGCCGGGGCGGUCCGCCGAAGCAACGUAUGGUAUGUUCACAGGGGUUUGGGAGUUGGUAUAACUCGGUAAUGAUCCCUCCGCUGGUUCACCAACGGAGA
RNAcentral lists this unclassified non-coding RNA (213 nucleotides) under uncultured fungus. Its description in RNAcentral is "sequence contains ITS1". Lineage: Eukaryota; Fungi. The record is from RNAcentral.